GUGCUUGCUUUACCAGCAUGUAUACUAAAACUGGAACAAUAUAGAGAAGAUUAGCAUGGCCCCUGCCCAAGGAUGACACAUGAAUUUGUGAAGUGGUCCAUAUUUUU
RNAcentral lists this small nuclear RNA (107 nucleotides) under Mustela putorius furo (domestic ferret). The record is from RNAcentral. Lineage: Eukaryota; Metazoa; Chordata; Mammalia; Carnivora; Mustelidae.